AAGGCUUUAGCUUAAAUUAAAGCAGUUGGGUUGCAGUCAGCUGAUGUAUGUUAGAGGCAUACAAGUCUUG
This 70-nucleotide transfer RNA is filed under the name Bipes canaliculatus. RNAcentral's name for it is "tRNA-Ala". It matches the Rfam family "tRNA". Rfam says of the family: Transfer RNA (tRNA) molecules are approximately 80 nucleotides in length. Their secondary structure includes four short double-helical elements and three loops (D, anti-codon, and T loops). The record is from RNAcentral. Lineage: Eukaryota; Metazoa; Chordata; Lepidosauria; Squamata; Bipedidae.